ACUAACAAGGAUUCCCCUAGUAACUGCGAGUGAAGCGGGAAAAGCUCAAAUUUAAAAUCUAAUGGUCCUUGGCCAUUCGAGUUGUAAUUUAGAGAAGCGUCUUCCGCGCCAGACCAUGUACAAGUCUCCUGGAACGGAGCGUCAUAGAGGGUGAGAAUCCCGUCUUUGACAUGGACCCUUGGUGCUUCUGUGAUGCGCUCUCAAAGAGUCGAGUUGUUUGGGAAUGCAGCUCAAAAUGGGUGGUGAACUCCAUCUAAGGCUAAAUAUUGGCGAGAGACCGAUAGCGAACAAGUACCGUGAGGGAAAGAUGAAAAGCACUUUGGAAAGAGAGUGAAACAGUACGUGAAAUUGUUGAAAGGGAAACACUUGAAGUCAGUCGCGUCGAUCGAGACUCRGCCUCGCCUUUGGCUUGGCGUACUUCUCGACUUGACGGGCCAGCAUCAAUUUCGUCCCUCGGAUAAUGGCAGGGGAAAGGUGGCACCUUCACGGGUGUGUUAUAGUCUCUUGUCGCAUGCGAGGGGUGGGAUUGAGGAACUCAGCACGCACCUCACGGUGUCGGGGCUUCGGCCCACGUUACGUGCUCAGGAUGCCGGCGUAAUGGCUUUAAAUGACCCGUCUUGAAACACGGACCAAGGAGUCUAACAUGCCUGCGAGUGUUCGGGUGGAAAACCCGUGUGCGUAAUGAAAGUAAAAGUUGGGACCUCUGUCGUGGAGGGCACCGACGCCCGGACCAGACCUUCUGUGACGGAUCUGCGGUAGAGCAUGCAUGUUGGGACCCGAAAGAUGGUGAACUAUGCCUGAAUAGGGUGAAGCCAGAGGAAACUCUGGUGGAGGCUCGUAGCGAUUCUGACGUGCAAAUCGAUCGUCAAAUUUGGGUAUAGGGGCGAAAGACUAAUCGAAC
This 901-nucleotide ribosomal RNA is filed under the name Lactifluus volemus. Its description in RNAcentral is "eukaryotic LSU rRNA". It matches the Rfam family "Eukaryotic large subunit ribosomal RNA", at positions 64 to 940 of the family's 3401-position model. Lineage: Eukaryota; Fungi; Basidiomycota; Agaricomycetes; Russulales; Russulaceae. The record is from RNAcentral.